Non-coding RNA from Salmo salar (Atlantic salmon), 68 nucleotides. NCBI's taxonomy places the organism in Eukaryota, Metazoa, Chordata, Actinopteri, Salmoniformes, Salmonidae. The record is from Rfam.
GCCUCCUGUGCCUACUGAGCUGAUAACAGUACUACUGAAUGACUGGCUCAGUUCAGCAGGAACAGGAG